AUUCCAGCUCCAAUAGCGUAUAUUUAAGUUGUUGCAGUUAAAAAGCUCGUAGUUGGAUCUUGGGUCGUAAGGGUCGGUCCGCCUACUCGGUGUGCACCUGCCCUUCCGUCCCUUUUGUCGGCGGCGUGCUCCUGGCCUUAAUUGGCUGGGUCGCGGUUCCGGCGCUGUUACUUUGAAAAAAUUAGAGUGCUCAAAGCAAGCUUAUGCUCUGAAUACAUUAGCAUGGAAUAACGUGAUAGGAGUCUGGUCCUAUUGUGUUGGCCUUCGGGACCGGAGUAAUGAUUAAUAGGGACUGUCGGGGGCAUUCGUAUUUCAUUGUCAGAGGUGAAAUUCUUGGAUUUAUGAAAGACGGACCACUGCGAAAGCAUUUGCCAAGGAUGUCUUCAUCA
This 389-nucleotide ribosomal RNA is filed under the name Embryophyta sp. RNAcentral's name for it is "partial small subunit ribosomal RNA". It matches the Rfam family "Eukaryotic small subunit ribosomal RNA", at positions 582 to 975 of the family's 1831-position model. The record is from RNAcentral. Lineage: Eukaryota; Viridiplantae; Streptophyta.